GAUGAACGCUGGCGGCGUGCCUAAUACAUGCAAGUCGAGCGAACAGAUGAGGAGCUUGCUCCUCUGACGUUAGCGGCGGACGGGUGAGUAACACGUGGAUAACCUACCUAUAAGACUGGGAUAACUUCGGGAAACCGGAGCUAAUACCGGAUAAUAUAUUGAACCGCAUGGUUCAAUAGUGAAAGACGGUUUUGCUGUCACUUAUAGAUGGAUCCGCGCCGCAUUAGCUAGUUGGUAAGGUAACGGCUUACCAAGGCAACGAUGCGUAGCCGACCUGAGAGGGUGAUCGGCCACACUGGAACUGAGACACGGCCCAGACUCCUGCGGGAGGCAGCAGUAGGGAAUCUUCCGCAAUGGGCGAAAGCCUGAAGGAGCAACGCCGCGUGAGUGAUGAAGGUCUUCGGAUCGUAAAACUCUGUUAUUAGGAAAGAACAAAUGUGUAAGUAACUAUGCACGUCUUGACGGUACCUAAUCAGAAAGCCACGGCUAACUACGUG
RNAcentral lists this ribosomal RNA (497 nucleotides) under uncultured bacterium. Its description in RNAcentral is "partial 16S ribosomal RNA". It matches the Rfam family "Bacterial small subunit ribosomal RNA", at positions 28 to 507 of the family's 1533-position model. The record is from RNAcentral.